This is an unclassified non-coding RNA of Ursus americanus (American black bear), 311 nucleotides long. Its record names the gene 7SK. It matches the Rfam family "7SK RNA". From Rfam's summary of the family: 7SK was discovered as an abundant small nuclear RNA in the mid-70s but a possible function has only recently been suggested. Two independent studies have found that 7SK RNA binds the CDK9/cyclin T complex (known as elongation factor P-TEFb). Lineage: Eukaryota; Metazoa; Chordata; Mammalia; Carnivora; Ursidae. The record is from Ensembl.
AAAUGCAGGGUGAUUUGGCUGUGGUAUCUGUCACCCCAUUGAUCACCAGGGUCAAUCGGCUGAUCUGGCUGGCUAGGCAGGUGUCCCCUUCCUCCCUCACGACUCCGCGUGUGUCCUUCCCAAAACUGUGCACUCAGUCAGAGAAUGACCCUCCCCAGUAGAGGAGGACUGUUCUUUGGUCAAGGGUAUACGAGUAGCUGCCCUCCACGGCUAGAAUCUCCAAACAAGCUCUCAAGCUGUGAGUUUUGUGUGACGCCACACAGGAUGGCUUUGAGGCUUUAAUGAAAUGGAGAACGUGAAAACGGUACUUU